RNAcentral lists this long non-coding RNA (514 nucleotides) under Homo sapiens (human). RNAcentral's name for it is "HSALNT0003322". The record is from RNAcentral. Lineage: Eukaryota; Metazoa; Chordata; Mammalia; Primates; Hominidae.
GGCCUAUUUCUUGUAAACAGUCUAUAAUCUCCAAAAGGGUGGGACUGGGUCUGUUUGGCUCACCACUGGCCACUCAGUGUACAGCACAUGGCCACACACAGUAGGUGCUUCAUGAAUAUUAACUGCAUAAAAAAUAAAUGGAUGGGCCAGGUGUGGUGGCUCACACCUGUAAUCCCAGCACUUUGGGAGGCCGAGGCGGGUGGGUCACCUGAGGUCAGGAGUUUGAGAUCAGCCUGGCCAACAUGGUGAAACUCUAUCUCUACUAAAAAUACAAAAAUUAGCUAGGUGUGGUGGCAUAUGCCUGUAGUCCCAGCUACUUGGGAGGCGGAGGCGGGAGAAUCACUUGAACCUGGGAGGCGGAGGUUGUGGUGAGCUGAGAUUGCAUCACUGCACUCCAGCCUGGGUGACAGAGUGAGACUCCAUCUCAAAAAAUAAAAAAAUAAAAAUAAUAAAUAAAUAAAUAAAUGGAUGAAGAGAGAAAUGAACGACAGCAACUACUAAAUUCCAAUCUUAG